UCCUCCACCAAGGCGCUCAAGUCCUGCGAGGAGCUGCUGCCGCCCGAGGAGCUCGGCAUUGUCGCCCGCUGCAUGGACGCCAUUGCCGCGCGCUCGUCGGCGACGUCGCGCUCCUGGUUCGGCGACCUGGCCGUGCUCGGUCCGCACAUGUACAAGCGGGUGAUGGUGGCCAUGGCCGCAAAGGACGUGAUGACGGAGGCUUUGGAGGGCUGCCUCGUGUCCUACGCCAAGGCCACCCUCCCGGGGCUGUCGAGGUCCAUGAGGUGGCGCCGCGCGUCCGCGCCGGUCUCGUCGGAGGUGGAGCAGAGAGACCUCCUGGAGGCGGUGGUCGCGAGCCUCCCCGCGGACAAGGGCUCGGGGAGCAUGGUGACCGCGAAAUUCCUGGUCGCGCUGCUGCGGACGGUGCACAUCCUGCGCGCUUCCGACGCGGCGCGCGCGGCGAUCGAGCGGAAGGCCGCGACGCAGCUGGAACAGGCAACGGUGGAGGACGUGCUCAUCCCGAGCUACUCCGGCGCCACGGAGACGCUCUACGACGUGGACUACGUCGAGCGGGUGCUCAGGCACUUCCUGGUCGAGGAGGAGGUGGGCGAGGACGAGGCGUCGUUGUCAGCUGCAAUCACCGAGGAGGAAGCGGCGGCAAGGACGAUGGCGUCACGUCCGUUGACCGUGGCAAUGGUGCAGGUGGGCAAGCUGGUGGACAACUACCUGGCAGAGGUAGCGUCCGACGCCAACCUGAAGCCAACCAAAUUCUGCGAGCUCGCGCUGGCAAUGCCGGACCACGCCCGCAUCUACGACGAUGGCGUCUACCGCGCCGUCGACAUCUACCUCAAGGCGUAUCCGCGGCUGACGGCGGAGGAGCGGGACAGGGUGUGCGGCGUGGUGGACUUCAGGAAGCUGACGGUGGAGGCAUGCACGCACGCGGCGCAGAACGAGCGGCUCCCGCUGCGCGCGGUGCUACAGGUGCUCUUCUUCGAGCAGCUGCAGCUCCGAUGCGCCAUCAUGGGCACACUGAUACGGCCAGUGGCGGCGGUGCGUCACGCCGCUGGCCCGAGCGAGGCGUGGCAGACGACAACGAUGCAGGAGAGCCAAACGCUGCGGGUGGACAUGGACGACAUGAUGAGCCGGGUGCAGGGCCUGGAGAGGGAGUGCUCCAGCAUGCGAAGGGCGAUCAAGAAGAUCGACGGCAGUGGCGCCGCGUCGCAAGGCAGCGGCAGCCCAGACGUGGCCGCCCCGGCAGGCUGGCGGUCCAGGUACCGGUGCAAGUUCAGCACGCAGGUGUGCGACUCGCAGGCGCGCAACGCGGUCGUGUCCAGGGCGUCCAGGAUGGGGAUGAGCCUAGGAUGGGUGUCCAGGGCGUCCAAGCCGUCCAUUGAUAAAAGGAAAUGA
RNAcentral lists this ribosomal RNA (1386 nucleotides) under Triticum aestivum (bread wheat). RNAcentral's name for it is "partial small subunit ribosomal RNA". The record is from RNAcentral. Lineage: Eukaryota; Viridiplantae; Streptophyta; Magnoliopsida; Poales; Poaceae.